GUUCCUUCGGGACGCAUAGACAGGUGGUGCAUGGUUGUCGUCAGCUCGUGUCGUGAGAUGUUCGGUUAAGUCCGGCAACGAGCGCAACCCUUAACGGCAGUUGGCAAUAUUAAGUUAGCAACUCUGCCGUGACUGCCGUGGAUAACACGGAGGAAGGUGGGGAUGACGUCAAAUCAUCAUGCCCCUUACGUCUUGGGCUACACACGUGCUACAAUGGGCGCUACAAAGAGCAGCGAAAUUGCAAAAUGGAGCAAAUCUCAAAAAAGCGUUCUCAGUUCGGAUUGAGGGCUGCAACCCGCCCUCAUGAAGUCGGAGUUGCUAGUAAUCCCGAAUCAGAAUGUCGGGGUGAAUGCGUUCCCGGGUCUUGUACACACCGCCCGUCACGCCAUGGGAGUCGGGGGUACCCGAAGUCGGUGAGCUAACCGCAAGGAGGCAACCGCCUAAGGUAAAACCGAUGACUGGGGUGAAGUCGUAACAAGGUAGCCGUAUCGGAAGGUGCGGCUGGAUC
Molecule: ribosomal RNA, 508 nt
Filed under: uncultured bacterium
Lineage: Bacteria
Description: bacterial SSU rRNA
Rfam family: Bacterial small subunit ribosomal RNA
Source: RNAcentral